CGGGCGCACGCGCACUGUGCCGCUGAGUGUGCGGUGUAGUGGUGAGUACCGCUCGUGUCUUUUACCGAAAAGCGAAAAGUUGUGUUCUGCGUACUGAAAAUAAAUAUAAAAUCAAAGAAUUGUUUGUUGUCAUGUUUGAGGACAUGACUGAACAGGGUUCAACUCCUGUGAGGGAAUGUUAGGAUAUGCUGUUCGUAAUGGGAAGUGACAAAGCAAGCCCCACUUGGAAUAUAGCAAUAGCUUCAUAACAGCAUUUAAGUCUUAGUUUUAAAAAAAAUGUAUUUUUUCACUCGGCCUUCUUGAAGUCCCAUUUUCAAGUACACGUAAGUGAUUGCAGAUGUACUAUGCGCAGCUAACAAUAUAAGUUGAAACAAACAGCUGGGAGUGUGGUCAGCUGCGGACAGAAUGAGUCCACAAGUCCUGAGCCUGCUUCCCUCCCAGCCCGUGCCCGGUUCCCUCCUUCCCCCAAAAGCCGGAGCACUGGGCUGCAAGAAUGCACUACAAAUAAGUGAUAAAGAAUCACAGAUCCAUUAAGAUUGGAAAAGACCUCUCACAUCCCCAGGUCCAACCCCAUCCCACCACUCCACACUGACCCACCCCACUCCCCCAGCCGCUCCCCCAGCGCUGUGCUCAGACCCCUCACAGCUCCGCUCCCUUCCCUGGACACACUCCAGGGCCUCCAUGUCUUUCCUGCAUCAAGGGUCCCAGCGCUCAGCACAGCACUGAGGCGCAUCCCCACCAGUGUGGUACAGACAGAAACGAGCAGAAAUGAGUUCAUCCCACAUUCCACUCAAGGAUCAGAUCUGAGUCUCAAUAGAGCAGAGUUGAUUUGUCUUUCCAGGCUGGCUUGCAGGUUUGCCUGCAGCGCAAUGAGUCCAGCAUGCAGGCAGUGCUGCUGGAGUUCAGGAGUAGAAGUGGGCUGCCUGUUCCAUGCUAUCUGCCUGAAGAAUGACCAGAGCUGCUCCAAAAGCAAUGCCAUCUAAUUUAAGAUAUUGUCCCAUAACAUCAGAAGCAGAUGUUGAUAGUAUGGCAGUAGAGGUUGAAUCUUCC
This 1050-nucleotide long non-coding RNA is filed under the name Gallus gallus (chicken). Lineage: Eukaryota; Metazoa; Chordata; Aves; Galliformes; Phasianidae. The record is from RNAcentral.